RNAcentral lists this ribosomal RNA (119 nucleotides) under Pteropus alecto (black flying fox). The record is from RNAcentral. Lineage: Eukaryota; Metazoa; Chordata; Mammalia; Chiroptera; Pteropodidae.
GUCUACGGCCAUGCCACCCUGAACAAGCCUGAUCCUGUCUGAUCUCGGAAGCUAAGCAGGGUCAGACCUGGUUAGUAAUUGAAUGGGAGACCACCUAGGAAGACCAGAUGCUAUAGGUA